AUGCCUGGGUCUAUCAAAAAGCUUUUGAUUACUUUUGUCUGGGUUGUCUCAAGAUAUUACAUACCAAAGGUCAUGCAAAUUGGACAAAUGCUCCAGGUGAAAAAUUUACAUUCACAAAUAUAAAUAACACAGAGGAAAAAUAAAGAUAUAAUUAAGUGCAAAAAUCACUGACUGCUGUAAAAGAAUCUAAAUGAUUUUGAUCCUUUUUAUCUCUCCAACACAAUAUUUCAAUCAACUGUGCACUUGCAAUACUGUUUUUGUUUUGCGCUUUACGUUUCUGCGCGUGUAGCUUUGUGAGACUGUCUUGACUUGUUGGCGGAGUCAAAGUAUUGGGGUCUAAAAAACAGGGCUGGCUCCCUUGACAUUGCAUCAUCAGCUGACUGUCGCAGACUGCAUUAGAGGAUGUUCAAGAUACAUGAACACAGGCUGGAUCUCCGGAGCAAUGAAGCAUCUGCAUGUGAAAGCGACAGAGGGCACACUUAGCUUGGCUUCAGAGUUUGAACUGGAAGAAAUUAAAUUAAACAUUCAAGGCUCAAUUGACACAGAUUGUCCUGCUUGAAAACUUUAUACUAAACGAUGUUGUGCUCUAGUUUAAAAAUAUGACACCACUGUAUUAUGUUAUUGAGAAGAUGAAAAGGUAUUGUCUUGUCAUGUUCAUGUUUUUUUAUUUUGAAGUUCUAAGUUCUCAUGUUCAUGACUUUUAUUUUGAAAUUAUGUCUUGCCAUGUUGUCUAUUGUUUUCCUGUUCCCUAUGUGUCAUGUUCUCAUUGGUUUACUGUCUGUAUAUAUAGCCCUCAUGUUUCCAUUGUCCCUUGUUGGUUAUUGAAUGUAGUUGCUGUGUUUGUAUUGUUUCAUGUUCAUGCUCACGUUUAUGGAUAACAUCAUGUCAAGGAUUUCAUGGUUUAUGUUUGGAUCACUUUAAAUUUUUCUAUCUGCACUAAGAUCCAGUCUCAUCUCAUGUUUGGACAGCACAUUCCAGAUGAUCAAGGACUGUUUGUGUUUUGUGAUAGUUGUGAUCACACUGAUAGAAGGGUGGCCAUACUGAAGAUGUUAAAAUAAAACUUUUUAUUUAUUUACACAACUUAUAGUCUCUUUCUUUUUUGUGAGAAGAUUUGAAAAGCCUAAAUCCUUGAAUUUUAAUAAUUAUUCAAUGUGAAGCACACUAUUUCAAAUUUGGCUUACAAUCACUAGACUGACCUGGGCAGCAUACUGUACCUCCCAUUCACACCUGACCCAAAUGUCUGCCAUAAUGGAUCUAUUAUGAGUUUAGACUCUGUUUAAGUAUUAUUAUUAUUUACAGCAUCUACAAUAUUGUCAUAUUGUUAGAAUUUUUUUAAUAGUUCACAAAUGUAUGGGGAUCACUAUCAACCCACUGUGCCAGUUUAUGUUGCCUUCCCAAAAUUAUUUGAUUCCCUCUAUGUAUCUCUAACAUUACCAGCUGUAAAUUUUUCCUUCACCUUCUUCUUGUAAUCUAGUUGCAUCUCCUUUAGCUUGCAUUUAACUUCUUUAUUUAGCUCUUUUACCUUAUCUCUCAAGUUCUUUUAAAAAGCUACUUUUUUCCCAAUUGGUGCUGCCAAAACAGAUACUUUGAGAUUAUCUAUUAACCCCUUAUUCCAUGACUGCACCUGCUGAACAACCGGUUUAAUCCUUUUUAACAUCUUUCCAUAACAAUAUGAUCCAAGCACCCUAGUGGUGGAUGUGACCUUGGUACAUAAGCACCAUCCACAUUAGCGUAACAUUGUCUAGUUUAUUCAGCCUUGUUCGGCAAGUUACAUUCUUUUCUAAGUUUGGCAGAAGCACAGAUAACUCACAGUUGUUAAAGUCUCUGAGGAGAAUCACUGGGUCACCUGCUGAGUUGCGCAACACCCUGUUAUAACUUGCAGCAAUGCCCUUGGCUGCAAAUUAAAAUUUUGGCCCAGAAACAAAAGUUAUUUGUCCAAACCCUUGAUGCAAGUAAUGUGAUCUAAAUAAAAAAAAAACAUAAGUUUCUUCCUUUUCCUCUUCACACAUAGUGUUUGUAAGAAACAAAUGAUUUCGAGAGGAACAGAUAAUUUCAUAUAAAGGACUUGAUGAAUCCUUCAUAUUGUAUCAGAUAGUAAAUCCUUGCGGCUUUAGGUCAUCUUGCUCACAUGUCCGUUGUUGCCAGAGCUUCCCAACUCUGCUUCAACUCUGGACUCACAUCUACAAUUGUA
Molecule: non-coding RNA, 2191 nt
Organism: Paramisgurnus dabryanus
Lineage: Eukaryota; Metazoa; Chordata; Actinopteri; Cypriniformes; Cobitidae
Source: RefSeq, a predicted model, not a curated record